Molecule: ribosomal RNA, 1148 nt
Filed under: Enterobacter asburiae
Lineage: Bacteria; Pseudomonadati; Pseudomonadota; Gammaproteobacteria; Enterobacterales; Enterobacteriaceae
Description: bacterial SSU rRNA
Rfam family: Bacterial small subunit ribosomal RNA
Source: RNAcentral
GGGGGGGCAGCUACACAUGCAGUCGAGCGGCAGCGGAAGUAGCUUGCUACUUUGCCGGCGAGCGGCGGACGGGUGAGUAAUGUCUGGGAAACUGCCUGAUGGAGGGGGAUAACUACUGGAAACGGUAGCUAAUACCGCAUAACGUCGCAAGACCAAAGAGGGGGACCUUCGGGCCUCUUGCCAUCAGAUGUGCCCAGAUGGGAUUAGCUAGUAGGUGGGGUAACGGCUCACCUAGGCGACGAUCCCUAGCUGGUCUGAGAGGAUGACCAGCCACACUGGAACUGAGACACGGUCCAGACUCCUACGGGAGGCAGCAGUGGGGAAUAUUGCACAAUGGGCGCAAGCCUGAUGCAGCCAUGCCGCGUGUAUGAAGAAGGCCUUCGGGUUGUAAAGUACUUUCAGCGGGGAGGAAGGUGUUGAGGUUAAUAACCUCAGCAAUUGACGUUACCCGCAGAAGAAGCACCGGCUAACUCCGUGCCAGCAGCCGCGGUAAUACGGAGGGUGCAAGCGUUAAUCGGAAUUACUGGGCGUAAAGCGCACGCAGGCGGUCUGUCAAGUCAGAUGUGAAAUCCCCGGGCUCAACCUGGGAACUGCAUUCGAAACUGGCAGGCUAGAGUCUUGUAGAGGGGGGUAGAAUUCCAGGUGUAGCGGUGAAAUGCGUAGAGAUCUGGAGGAAUACCGGUGGCGAAGGCGGCCCCCUGGACAAAGACUGACGCUCAGGUGCGAAAGCGUGGGGAGCAAACAGGAUUAGAUACUCUGGUAGUCCACGCCGUAAACGAUGUCGACUUGGAGGUUGUGCCCUUGAGGCGUGGCUUCCGGAGCUAACGCGUUAAGUCGACCGCCUGGGGAGUACGGCCGCAAGGUUAAAACUCAAAUGAAUUGACGGGGGCCCGCACAAGCGGUGGAGCAUGUGGUUUAUUUCGAUGCAACGCGAAGAACCUUUACCCUACUCUUGACAUCCAGAGAACUUUUCCAGAGAUGGAUUGGGUGCCUUUCGAGAACUCUGAGACAGGUGCUGCAUGGGCUGUCGUCAGCUCGUGUGUGAAAUGUGGGGUAAGUCCGCAACGAGCGCAACCUUUAUCUUGGUGGCAAGCGUCGGCGGACUCAAAGGAGACUGCCAGUGAAUAACUUGGAGAAGGGUGGGGAUC